GGGACCGACCUGGCUUCGACGUGGGUGCGGAGUCGGAACAGGGCAUGCCGAGCACCAGUUCGCUCGUAAAUCCACUGGAACAAAGUAACUGCGAACGACGAACGUUUCGCCCUCGCCGCUUAACACCGGUGAGCCUCUCAACGGCAGGCCGAUGGGCCGGGCCGAAGAUCGCAAGAUCCUAGGCUGAGAGGUCAUUCACAUCGGCUGGUCGAUGCCCGUGCACCUUGGGCAUCGACGAGA
This 240-nucleotide transfer-messenger RNA is filed under the name Rhodoferax sp. RNAcentral describes it as "partial transfer-messenger RNA". It matches the Rfam family "transfer-messenger RNA", at positions 1 to 239 of the family's 374-position model. From Rfam's summary of the family: Bacterial tmRNA, also known as 10Sa RNA or SsrA, is named for its dual tRNA and mRNA-like properties. The record is from RNAcentral. Lineage: Bacteria; Pseudomonadati; Pseudomonadota; Betaproteobacteria; Burkholderiales; Comamonadaceae.